UCGCCUGCGCGCGGGAACGAUGACGUGUGCGCUGUGAGGACACUCGCAUCGCAGAUGAAAACUUAAAGAGCCUGACGGACGGACACCACCGGAGUGGAGUGUGCGGCUUAAUUUCCUCCCGCG
This 123-nucleotide ribosomal RNA is filed under the name Microsporidium sp. HEM-2006AAa. Its description in RNAcentral is "partial 16S ribosomal RNA". The record is from RNAcentral. Lineage: Eukaryota; Fungi; Microsporidia.